This 253-nucleotide ribosomal RNA is filed under the name uncultured bacterium. RNAcentral's name for it is "partial 16S ribosomal RNA". It matches the Rfam family "Bacterial small subunit ribosomal RNA", at positions 524 to 776 of the family's 1533-position model. The record is from RNAcentral.
UACGGAGGAUGCAAGCGUUAUCCGGAAUGAUUGGGCGUAAAGCGUCUGUAGGUGGUUUUUAAAGUCUUCUGUCAAAGAUCAGGGCUUAACCCUGGGUCGGCAGAAGAAACUUAAAAGCUGGAGUCUGGUAGGGGCAGAGGGAAUUCCCGGUGUAGCGGUGAAAUGCGUAGAGAUCGGGAAGAACACCAAUGGCGAAGGCACUCUGCUGGGCCACGACUGACACUGAGAGACGAAAGCUAGGGGAGCAAACAGG